Long non-coding RNA from Orcinus orca (killer whale), 842 nucleotides. RefSeq lists it as uncharacterized. The record is from RefSeq and is a predicted model, not a curated record. The transcript has 3 exons. NCBI's taxonomy places the organism in Eukaryota, Metazoa, Chordata, Mammalia, Artiodactyla, Delphinidae.
GAUUGGAUCAUUAAUGAGUCCUUAUGUUGACAAAGGGACUCAAUCAACGUUUAUGGAAUUGAUUUAAUGAACAGAUAAACUGAUUUUAGAUUCGUGAUAUGUAGGAAUGAGGAUGAUAUUUCAGUGGGACAUAUAUGGAUUCUGUUUCUAACUACAUAAGCCUUCUCUCUACAAUCCUCUUAAUAUCUUAAUAAACAUAAAAAAUAGCUACUAAGAGGAUAAUUUUACCUCAGCCUUUAAAAAAACCUGCCAGAUUGUUGUGAAUUGUCUCUCUCUUUUUUUCUUCCUAAAUUCUCAGGUUUUAUUAUUUAUGCACAUUUGUAUUCUUCUCCCCUUGAUACCACAAGACGUUGAGGCCUGUUUCUCCUGUCUUUCCUGCAUGAUCAGGGCCUGGGUAGUCUGUGUACCUCAGACGGAAUCAGGGAUCAAGGGAGCUGCCCCAUCGCUCUGUUCUGUGACAUGCUGCUAAAGGAUUGUGGGAGUUUCCUUGCCCUCAACCGGGAAGAUCUAGAAAAGACAGAUGGUUGCAGUUUCUGGAAGUGAGGAAGAUAAUUCUACCACUUCAGAAUCGCCAGCCCAGGACAUUUAAAAACCAAGGCACCGCUAAAGAAAAGAAGUUUCCUUCAGAGAUGAAUGUGUCCAAGAUAAAGGGUGAUGGCUUGAAGAAAGAACAAACACUCAUAGCUACACGACCCGUUAACACGAAAGAUCCAGAAACCAACCACUUCUGAUUUGGUUCCCUGCUGUUACUUAUUUAUGGAAGAUGGGUAAAUAGUGAAAUGUUAUAAAUAGUAAAAAAGAAAAAAAAAAGCUUUGUAUUGAAUUUGAUGAUGGAAAUUACA